AUUCUUCCAAUGCAGGGAAGGAUGAGAAGCUUCGACCAAGGUUCGAUUCGAGCGUAGCGAGAAAGCGUUGCCGCAGGCAACGACCCGAAGGGCGAGGCGUAGCCGAGUUAUCCUUCCCCCACCACCA
This 127-nucleotide small RNA is filed under the name Leclercia sp. LSNIH6. RNAcentral describes it as "RtT sRNA". It matches the Rfam family "RtT RNA". From Rfam's summary of the family: This family represents a bacterial cis-regulatory element known as RtT RNA. The exact function of RtT is unknown although it is thought that it may be involved in changing the cellular response in relation to amino acid starvation. The record is from RNAcentral. Lineage: Bacteria; Pseudomonadati; Pseudomonadota; Gammaproteobacteria; Enterobacterales; Enterobacteriaceae. RNAcentral also lists the same sequence under 4 other names.